This 253-nucleotide ribosomal RNA is filed under the name uncultured bacterium. Its description in RNAcentral is "partial 16S ribosomal RNA". It matches the Rfam family "Bacterial small subunit ribosomal RNA", at positions 524 to 776 of the family's 1533-position model. The record is from RNAcentral.
UACGUAGGCAGCAAGCGUUGUUCGGAAUUACUGGGCGUAAAGAGUGUGUAGGCGGUGCUCUAAGUCUGUCGUGAAAUCUCCCGGCUUAACUGGGAGGGUGCGGCGGAAACUGGAGUGCUAGAGGGUGGGAGAGGAAAGCGGAAUUCCUGGUGUAGCGGUGAAAUGCGUAGAUAUCAGGAGGAACGCCUGCGGUGUAGACAGCUUUCUGGACCACUUCUGACGCUGAGACACGAAAGCGUGGGUAGCAAACAGG